Long non-coding RNA from Cyprinus carpio (common carp), 385 nucleotides. RefSeq lists it as uncharacterized. The record is from RefSeq and is a predicted model, not a curated record. The transcript is spliced from 4 exons. NCBI's taxonomy places the organism in Eukaryota, Metazoa, Chordata, Actinopteri, Cypriniformes, Cyprinidae.
GUUAGUAGUUAGAGAGAUCAGUAUUGUGUUUUGAAUUUUGUUUUUACAUGAGAGAGCACUAAGUUUACCUUUCGGAGAGCUGCAGGCAUACAACAAUGAUAAAGGACAUUCCUACUUGGUCUUGUGUCAAAGUUAUGCAGAAUUGAAGGAAGAAACCUCAAAGGCAGUGCCAGAUGGAUGCUGGACAGGGUUUUAAAAAAAAUAAUUCAACAUGAAAGGGGGUGGUCCGCUGCAGAAAGAGGCAUUUGAAAAGACUGCACUGUUCUUGAUCAUUAGAGAUGCUGUGAUGACCAACUUCCCAAAAGGACUUGAGAAAUGCAGUUGGGAUGCAUUUAAAACAAAAAAAUAAAACUUUAAUUAUAAUAAUUAUUCAUUAUUAUUAAUA